UACGUAGGGUGCGAGCGUUGUCCGGAAUUAUUGGGCGUAAAGGGCUCGUAGGCGGUCUGUCGCGUCGGGAGUGAAAACUCAGGGCUUAACCCUGAGCCUGCUUCCGAUACGGGCAGACUAGAGGUAUGCAGGGGAGAACGGAAUUCCUGGUGUAGCGGUGAAAUGCGCAGAUAUCAGGAGGAACACCGGUGGCGAAGGCGGUUCUCUGGGCAUUACCUGACGCUGAGGAGCGAAUGGG
Molecule: ribosomal RNA, 238 nt
Filed under: uncultured bacterium
Lineage: Bacteria
Description: partial 16S ribosomal RNA
Rfam family: Bacterial small subunit ribosomal RNA
Source: RNAcentral